CUAUCCAAAAAGUGCUAUAAGUUGUAAUUUUUCUCAUCUCAAUUUUUUCGAAGCUAAAUUGGAUUAGAUUAAUUUAAACUUUUAAAAUUAAAAGUUAUAUCUUCGGAAACUAUACAAAAGCUACUAUAAUUUGGAACUUUUCUCAUCUUAAUUUUUUUUAAAGCUAAAUUGGAUUAGACUAAUUCAAAAUCUUGAAAUUAAAAUUUAUAUAUUCGAAAACUAUACAAAAAAGUACUAUAAGUCGUAAUUGUUAAACAAAAAAAUAAAAAAUAAAAAUGAGAGCAGUAGCACGCUGAGAACAAAUGAAUUUCUUAUCACUGCAAAACCAUUUGUAAGGAUUUCUUUUUCCCCGAGCUUAUACAAAAUGACAGCAAAACGUAAAAAUAUCAAGGAAAAGGCAUCAUCAUUCAUUUCCAUGUUGAUCUUCAUUAUCAACCAGCACAUCUUAUGCAGACCUGAGCUCGUUGGUCAGUUUUCUUUGGUCUUAUUCGAUCCAAGAUCUUGAACAUUUCCGCUGCUGAUUAAAACGCAAGUAAGUUAAUUAACUCCAAGAUAUAACAUUUGUACUCUUAAUGGAAUUUGGAAACUGUCCACUGGGACAGGUUAAUAGUGAGUCAACAUCUCUUCUCUACUGUUUGAAACUUCGCUGAAAUAACUCAGGUAAUUCUAAUCUGGAAAGUUGAUCCUACAUACUGAAUUAGCAUGGGGGACCCGAUAAGUUGUCAGAUAUUGCAAGUAAAAUUAUUUCUAAUUGCAGACAAGUGGUCCGGACCUGAAUAAUUACAGGACGAUCGCCCAUUGUUAUCAAUUUGAUUUCUAAAGAUCCUAUGUUUUCUAUCAUGUCAUAGAAACAAUGGGGCCUGCUGAUCUUCAGGCACAAUGGCCUAGAGUCAUAAAUACUUGACAACGAGUUGGAUAACAAAACCAUGUGAUACUUCAUCUGCUAUUGUCAAUCAACAGUGAAAUCUUAAGUGUGAUUAGCUUGUUUCUCUUAUAGUUCUUAUAUUGAUGGACAUACAGUUGGUGUAUGGGGUAUGUUUUAGUCCUAAAGGAUAGUGUUCCAGACACAAAUCAUAAGGCACUAUCCAUUUCUAUGGAUUUGAUUCUGAGAGAUCGUUUGUUCCAUGCAUGAGAAAAUGGUAGGACCUAGUGUUCCCGAACUUAUAUGAGCUAAAGUAAUUAAUCUUGUCAACUAGUUGGAAGGCAUGACCAUGGGGUAAUUGAUCUGUCAUUGUCUUUAACUGAUGCCCAACUCAGAUGGCUCUUCACCACAAAUCAUUAGAUUUUAUGAGUUGGCAUUUGCUUAUAUAAACAAGUUUUGAGAAGUUGCCACCACCACGACCCUCCACAAAACUAGAGAACUACUCAAAAUUAUCCCGUGCUUUCAGAAUCUUUAGUAACUUUCUCUUCAUUGCUCAUCUUAACUAAAAGAUCAUGGCUAUCCGUGUUCCUCGUAUAAUCAAGAAGUCUUCAACAUCCCUUGAUGUUCCCAAGGGCCAUUUUGCUGUAUAUGUUGGGAGAGGCAGAGGAAGAGAUUUGUGAUUCCGGUAUCAUUCUUGAAUGGACCUUUAUUUCAAGACUUUCUCAGUCAAGCGGAAGAAGAAUUCGGCUUUGAUCAUCCAAUGGGAGGUGUCACAAUUCCCUGCCCAGAGAACAUU
Molecule: long non-coding RNA, 1658 nt
Organism: Lycium barbarum (goji berry)
Lineage: Eukaryota; Viridiplantae; Streptophyta; Magnoliopsida; Solanales; Solanaceae
Exons: 3
Source: RefSeq, a predicted model, not a curated record